AAAGGUCUACAUAUACAUUGUCCGCAAUAUGUAAAUAUGCUCCCACACACAUUCUGUAAAAAUGGUAGAGUAGAUGUCAGGAAGACAUCUCCAAUCUUAAAUAAUGUCUCUGUUCUCUCUCGUGUUAUUAUUCCCAUUGUUUUAUUUCUAUCCCCUGUGCUUGUGGUGUCUUUUGUGGCGUUUCAGCUGUGAUGAGAUGGGCGGGUGAGCGGCUUCCUCUAGAACUGACGCCAGCUGGUUUGGAGGACUGGCAGACCCUCAACUCUCCUAUCCACCAUGUUGGAGACUGACUUUAUUAUCUGCCACAGCUCCAUGCCAUGCACAGUCUCCAAUGGCCCAGAAUGCCGGCAUGUAACACAGCCCCAUUCACGGUCGCACUUAUUUUGAUUUAGUCAUAACUUUAGGAAUUGCCUUUUAACAACAACUACAGAAAAAAAGUGAGGGUCAUCUACUUCUAAUGCUGGAAACCCUGUGAUAAUCUGUUCCAUGCAUUCAAAUGAAAAUAUGACUUCUUGGCAGAGAAUAGCAUUAUAAUGUAAAAUCCCAUAUGCUGUUAUACAGUAUGUUGCAAUCUGUUUUACGGCUGCCUCUAUUCUAACGAGUGAAUACUGCCAAUAAAGCAAUUGAAGAUAACACUAAUUGCUUAUUUCUGUGAUCCAUAAUUUUUAUGGCUGCCUUAUAGCUCUUUAGUCAAAUAGAUGCUUUUUGGCCUUUAAGAUCUAGAACUCAUGUACUGCAGCAAUUGAAACUGGAAAUGCACAUGCUGGCCUGAGAGGCUUUUCUGUACUUGAUGGACAGAAUGCUACAGAAAAAUAAUGGAAAGAUACAAAAAUAUAUGGAAGUCUUACAUUGGCUCCAACAGAACACCUGCUGUAUUCUCCCAGCAAACACUGGGGCCAUGGCGUCUCUCCUCUAAUGACACCUCAUCAAUCCGCUCCUAUCAAUGUCCCAGCCAUGGAGGUGACUUCGAGUGCUCAGAAGCCUUAGAAAAUGUCAACGUUUUGGGAGAAAAGGAACCUUCACUAAACAGAAAGAGUAAAACUUAAGUUCCAAACACCUUGGCAUGUUCCAAGAUGGAAUGCAAAUAGCAAGACCUCUUUCUAACAUAGAAGACAUGGUCAAGUUUCUUGGGAGGCAAAUCAUUUCCAUAGAAUUAUUUGAAAUCUGAGCUGGCAUCUCUGGUAUUAACAUAAAUCACAGGCCAUCAAUAUGUAUUUAUGUAUUUAUCUGGUUUAUCAAAAACCACAAACAACAAUUAUAUGUCUGCUUUGUGCCUGGGACAGUGCUGAAGAUUAGGAGGGAUAUGUGAUCUACGAUUCAAGGGGUUAUGGAAAUUCCCAUAAGUGAUGUCCUGCUGUUUGAACAAGACAACUGAAAAGAAAAUCCACAGCCAAGAAAUACUACAAUUCAGCAGUAAAUACCCCAUAAUCAAUUAUAUUAGCAAACUAAAGUCAUAGUGUUUUGGGUAACUUUUGUUUCUCAUACAAAAGUUAAAUGUGCUGUUGUCUCCCUCUCUCUCUCUCUCUCUCUCUCGCUCUCGCUCUCUCGCUCUCUCGCUCUCUCUCGCUCUCGCUCUCGCUCUCUCUUUAACUGAGCAGCAGUGACAAUUUAUGGAUUCAGUAAUUUCUCACAUUCUGCUUGAAAAAUGUUUCUUUAUCCAAAGGUUAACUCCUUUCGGAGUACAGACCCCUAAAUUUUCUCAGUUGCUCUAUUAGUCGGUACAACUAGAUUCACUAGACUCAUAAAUCCAUCAAUUUUCUAGUCUAUAACAGUGUAAUCCCUGAAAUCUCAGAGAUAUAAAUGGAAUUGCUAAUUUUCAAUAAAUCUACAGAAACAGGUAAUAGUGUCAUGGGCCCCCAGUUCCAAUCAUUUUAGCUAUAAUAAAUGGUACCACAGGGACUUGCUUUAGGUCAUAAAAUUUACUGACCAGGACACAAAUUUUAACCCACAAAGUAUUUUAUAAGUUUUCUCCUUUUUUCCUACUUUAAAGUAUGAAUUCCAAGAAUGAUUUCCCACUUUAGACUGAUUAUAGAUAGAAAAGGUGAAAAUAAAAAACGAAGAAUUUUUUGAGAUUAGUAUUUUUUAUUGAGAAAAGACAACAUAAGUAACAGAGACAACAUAAGUAUUUCAAACAUAUACAAUAGUACAUAUGUUGGUUACUUAAAAUUUAAGUGCUUUGGAAAACAUGAAAUUGCUAUUUAUAUUCUCAUAUUUUACAAAUAAUACAUCAUACAACAGAAAUGUGUUUUUCUAAUGGAUGAUAAACAUGCUUCUGAAACAAAUUCUCUAAGUAUAAAUUAAAAUUUAAUUUUCUUAAAUAAUUGCAACCGAUUUCUAUAUUCUUUAAAAGCAGAAGUAUGUACUUUCACUGGGUGUUUUUAUUUUUCCUUUCUGAGAGUUUUACCAGUAUUUCUAAAAUACUUAUUUGCCCAAGAUAACUAUCAUUCAUCCAUACAUUAAAAUGAAUUACGAGUAUUGCUUUCAAUGUAUUGCAAAGGAUUUUUUCUGACUCUUCAAUUGAAUAUGGAAUGACCUCUGAAAUAAUAUGAUUGUAAUCACCUUUUAAACAAACUUAAGGAAUUGGUAAAAAGGAAACAAUCAAGAGUACCUUAAAUGUAACAUUUCAGU
Bubalus bubalis (water buffalo) is the source of this 2628-nucleotide long non-coding RNA. RefSeq lists it as uncharacterized. NCBI's taxonomy places the organism in Eukaryota, Metazoa, Chordata, Mammalia, Artiodactyla, Bovidae. The record is from RefSeq and is a predicted model, not a curated record. The transcript is spliced from 4 exons.